This 268-nucleotide long non-coding RNA is filed under the name Linum usitatissimum (flax). RNAcentral describes it as "long non-coding RNA (LUSI_LNC005780)". Lineage: Eukaryota; Viridiplantae; Streptophyta; Magnoliopsida; Malpighiales; Linaceae. The record is from RNAcentral.
UUUGGCGGGUGCGGUAGAUAUUUUUUUUUAUUUUGUUUCUUUAGGCUGGGAUAUUUUCUGUCAUGAAAUGGAAAGUGUCUUGGUAUUGGGAUUAUAUUGCGAAACUGCCAUAGAUGUAUAUUACAAGGGGGAGAGGUGGGGAUGGCAGAUUGGUAGAUAACGGGAGAAACGAGGGUAAGACUUUGGGGUGGAUGUACACGUCGGACUAGUGGGAGACACGUGUAACGCUGAUAAUAUCUUUUGAGAGGUCGGGGAGUGGUGAGAAAAA